UACGAAGGGUGCAAGCGUUGUUCGGAUUUAUUGGGCGUAAAGCGCGCGCAGGCGGAUCUGCAAGUCAGGUGUGAAAUCUCGGGGCUUAACCCCGAAAGUGCGCCUGAAACUGCAAGUCUAGAAUGUCGGAGAGGGAAGGGGAAUUUCUCAUGUAGGGGUAAAAUCCGUAGAUAUGAGAAGGAACACCAGAGGCGAAGGCGCCUUCCUGGACGGAUAUUGACGCUGAGGCGCGAAAGCGUGGGGAGCAAACAGG
This 253-nucleotide ribosomal RNA is filed under the name uncultured bacterium. RNAcentral's name for it is "partial 16S ribosomal RNA". It matches the Rfam family "Bacterial small subunit ribosomal RNA", at positions 524 to 776 of the family's 1533-position model. The record is from RNAcentral.